CCUACGGGCGGCAGCAGUGGGGAAUAUUGGACAAUGGGGGCAACCCUGAUCCAGCCAUGCCGCGUGUGUGAAGAAGGCCCUCGGGUUGUAAAGCACUUUCAGUGAGGAAGAACGCCUGGUGGUUAAUACCCAUCAGGAAAGACAUCACUCACAGAAGAAGCACCGGCUAACUCCGUGCCAGCAGCCGCGGUAAUACGGAGGGUGCGAGCGUUAAUCGGAAUUACUGGGCGUAGAGCGCGCGUAGGUGGCUUGAUAAGCCGGUUGUGAAAGCCCCGGGCUCAACCUGGGAACGGCAUCCGGAACUGUCAAGCUAGAGUGCAGGAGAGGAAGGUAGAAUUCCCGGUGUAGCGGUGAAAUGCGUAGAGAUCGGGAGGAAUACCAGUGGCGAAGGCGGCCUUCUGGACUGACACUGACACUGAGGUGCGAAAGCGUGGGUAGCAAACAGGAUUAGAUACCCCUGUAGUC
This 465-nucleotide ribosomal RNA is filed under the name Vreelandella stevensii. RNAcentral describes it as "partial 16S ribosomal RNA". It matches the Rfam family "Bacterial small subunit ribosomal RNA", at positions 338 to 795 of the family's 1533-position model. The record is from RNAcentral. Lineage: Bacteria; Pseudomonadati; Pseudomonadota; Gammaproteobacteria; Oceanospirillales; Halomonadaceae.